Molecule: RNA transcript, 5470 nt
Organism: Aphis gossypii (cotton aphid)
Lineage: Eukaryota; Metazoa; Arthropoda; Insecta; Hemiptera; Aphididae
Gene: Wdr24
Gene name: GATOR complex protein WDR24
Exons: 14
Source: RefSeq, a predicted model, not a curated record
CAAUUGCGCCGUCCAGAGACGAGUGCCUGGACCGAUUGAUAAGACGCGGUAGAUCGUGAACCAUGAGGUGCGCAUGCGUGACGCCUAAAACUCUUACUAUCUCCAUGGACACCGCCACACCGAGGUAUGAGAUAGAUAACAGAGUCAUUGAGUCAUUCCUACAGGCGGUAUUAUAAUUUACGAUAACGUUUCGCGGUUCCUGAACGACAACACGUCCUUCGGCAGCUAUACAUUUUUCAAACUCGAAAUAGUUAUUUUGUCGUUUUCGCGUUAUUGUUGGAUCAAAUUUUUAUGUAUCGUUUUGUCCAGCAUAGCACACACGUCCCUCGCGAUAUAACAAAUGCGUUUUCUAGAACCUGACAACGACGUACGAUGACCGCAGUAGUCCCCGCCGCUGCCGACACCACUGUCGUUCCCAUCGUCGCCACAGCAGCCUCUAACGGCAAGGGACACAUCUUGCACGAUGGUCCAGCGUAUUCGCUGGCGCUCAACAAAGAGCACACACAUGUUGUAGUUGCCGGCAGAAAUGUUUUUAAGGUAUUUCUCAUCGAACAGGGAGGUUUCAAAGAAUGUGUCAAUUUACGCUGUGGCAAAACAUCAAGUGUCCAGAGUUCGUCGAGCAUGGAUGUUGCUUGGAACCCAGCAGACGACAAUGUUUUGGCGACAGCUACAACAGGUGGUGCAGUAGUUACGUGGAACUUAAACAGAUCAUCAAGGAACAAACAAGACCAUAUUUUUUAUGACCACCGAAGAACUGUAAACAAGGUUACAUUUCAUUGUGUUGAACCCAAUCUGUUGAUGUCAGGCUCUCAAGAUGGUACAAUAAAAUGUUUUGAUUUGAGACUAAAAGAAGCACCUAAAACUUAUUCUAGCGAUUCAGAAAGUAUUAGAGAUGUUCAGUUUAGUCCUCACAACAGUUAUGUAUUUGCUGCUGCUUCAGAAAAUGGCAGUAUUCAAAUAUGGGAUACCAGAAAAGCUGAAAAAUGUUUAAAUAAGUUUUCUGCUCAUAAUGGACCAGUAUUUUCUUGUGAUUGGCAUUCGGAGCUUCAAUUUCUAGCAACUGCUAGUCGCGACAAGACUAUCAAAGUUUGGAAUGUUACAAAUAAACCUAUUGCUGAGUACACAAUUAGCACUAUUGCCCCAGUCGGACGAGUUAAAUGGCGGCCAUAUCGUAGAUAUCAUUUGGCUUCUAGUGCUUUGGUUCUAGACUCUGCCAUUAAUGUUUGGGACGUACGCAGGCCUUAUAUUCCUUAUGCAUCAUUUGCUAAACACACAGAUGUAGCAACUUGUAUUGCUUGGAAAGGAGAUCCUUUUGUACUUUUAUCCACAAAUCGAGAUAGUACUUUGCAUCAAAAUUUUAUAAGUGAAGCUGACUUGCCUUUAGAAAGUGCUAAUCAACAAGGUAUGGCUAUCAAUAGAGAUGGCGAUCUUGUAUUUUGUUGUCCAGUUAAUUUAAACAAAGUAGAAAUUCAAAAGUCUAAAGAAAGUUCUAGAAAGACUUCAACUACGACAAGUGGUGAAGAAGAAUUAAACACAUCAAGUGAGAUGAAUGUGUUUCGUGAUCCAAAAAUUGUGAUGUGUUUAUCUGAUGAAGCAGAAUGUAUUCAAACAUGUGCUAUGCAAUAUAAACUUAUAGGAAGAUCAAUAGGAGAACUCUGUGAACACAAUGCUGGUGUUGCUUCCAGUGUUGGAAGAACAACUGUUUUUUUGCUAUGGAAUGUUCUAAGAAUACUAUAUGAUCACCGUGUGUCUCUUAUUGCUCUCAAAGAAGAUAUUAUGAGCAGCUCAAACAUUGAUAGUAGCUUUGAUGGGGAGAACCAGAUUGGUUCUCUCAGUGACGAAGAUGGUCUCAGGGGAGAUAGACCUUACCAGUUGGGAGAUUUCUAUUUUGGGAAUGCUGAAAUUGAUCCUUUAGAUGCUGAACACGAUCAAUUUGACUUCAUAGGUUUACAGAUGGAUAGCAAAACUGUGGAAGAGGAUAACGAUUGGGAAGUACCUGUAGAAUCAAUAACUUUAAGACAUGAAAUCAUACAUGAGCCAAUUGUGAACGAUCCUUAUAUACCUAACUCAGCACCAUUAGCAAACAAAUUAAAUAAUCGCAUAACUUCUGCACCGCUGUUACGAAUAACUUCUCCUGCUAAAUUUGACAUGUGGAAUCCGUCAGAAAUUGUUGUCAAAGCUCUUCGUCAUCAUGUUGAUGAAGGUGAUGUACAAACAGCAGUGUGCGCAUUAAUUGUUUUAAGUGAUGAAAUCAGAAGUGAAUUAACCAAUCCUAGACAUUCUUGGCGUCUUUUACACGGUGAAAUAGAAUCUUGGUGGUUAAAUUAUCUUGAAUUAUUAAAAAAAUUCAAAUUGUGGUCAUGUGCUACAACGGUUAUCCAACUCUCACGCAUUCGUAGCAUAUUGCAACUGCAUCGAACCUCCACUUCAGUUUAUUUGACUUGUGGAUGGUGUUACAAAGGUUUAACACGAAACAAUCGACGCUGCUAUAAUUGUCAACAUUCUGAAUGUGCUAGGUGUGCAUUAUGUCAAAGGAUUGUACGUGGAAUGUAUGCAUGGUGUAGGGGAUGUGCACAUGGUGGCCACAUUGGACACAUGAAACAAUGGUUUAUGGAAAAUAAGUACUGUCCAACCGGAUGUGGACACAUGUGUGAAUAUUGAUCUCAGUACAAUUUUCUUAGAUUUGACAAAUCUAUCAAAUUAUAUAAUUCACCUGGGUAUUGAAACUGCUCAUAUACAAUCUAAUAUAUUACAUACCUAAACUCCAUAGUUGAUUGGAAACUAUCAUCUUCUGUAAUGGAAAACACGCACAAAAAUCCUUCACCACUGCGAAAAUAAUUGUCACGGAUGGCAGCAUAAUCUUCCUGGCCGGCUGUGUCCAGUAUAUCGAUUUGGACUUCUUCACCAUCCAAGACUACUUUUUUACGGUACGAAUCAGCUUUCGUCGGUUCAUAAUCUUCGACAAACUAUAAUGGGGCGUGUCAACUGAGGUUAUCAUACUUUGAAAUUAAGUUUUAUAUUUAUAUUUUAAUUUGUACAUACCUCGUCAUACAUAAACUGUAGGGUAAGAGCGGAUUUACCAACACCACCGCUACCCACCAUUAUAACUUUAUGCAAAGCUGGCUGCUGUGCAUUGUUUUUCUUCAUGGCUUGUAAUAAAAAUGUGAACUGUUGGUGCUGAAAAAAAAAAAACAAACCAGCUUGUAUUAAAUUGAACUGUAUCUAAAUGCAAUGCGAUUCUGGCGGCAGGUCAAGUGAAAACAUCUUAGGUCACAGCUUUCUCACACAUUACAUUCGAAAACAAUUAUGGGAAAAAAAUAUAUGAGCAAUAUAAUAUAUUAAGAGGAGGUGUCUACAAUCGUUUUCGCCAAAUCGUGUGUUAAUGAUUACGAGGAGGGGGAGGUGUUCGAAUUUUCGAUGGAUAAUUAAUAAACAAUAAUCACCUUAUUAAUGGAAAAAUAAUUAUUUUGAGUAACAGUUUGUGAUUAAUUUUAGUCUUGUACGGAAAUAAUGUUAAUUGAUUUUUGAGAGAUAAAUAUUGUUUACAUUUCAAGUGUCUUAUCAACGUCGAUUGGGGUUGGUUAGUCGUGCUACGGUGCAAAACUAGCAGUGUGACCAUAUUCAGAGAAUAUUUCUCGAUAUCUAAUAAAGUUCGAUAGUAUGUGUCUAAUUAUAAUUUUUAAGUUUUAAAUCUAGGUUCACAGCAUUGCUAUGACGUCUCGUCUGUUCGUCGUAUCGUGUGUAUAAUAAUAUUAUCGUAUUUUGAUUUUUGAUUGGAUGUUGUAAUAAUGGUAUAAUUAAUUGUUAACCCUGAUCUACCAGAAAAUGUCCGGUGUUCGGUUAAGUUCAACUUUCAUAUACGAGUAUACUAUACGACAAAUGAUCUAGCUGUCCAUGAACUCCGCUUAAUAUUAAUAUAUUAUUACUUACUAUUUAUUUGGUGAUUACUGAUUAAAAUAUUAUUUCGGUGUAUACAUGGCACAAGCACACGGCGAUAGCGAUUGAUGAUUGUGAAAGAGUACUGACGGUCGUGAACGUGUACACAAUUCAAAAGUGAUGGAGCGUCAACAGUCCUGUGCAAAUAACCGCUUACUGAUCGCAAUUGUAAGUGUAUCCGCUAUUCAGAAAACCAAAAUAUUUCACUAUGGAUUAUGCCCCGAAGAAUAUACUGAUUGUAAUUUCCAAUGCGUCCUUAAUUGCAUUGAUACAAAUCAAUCGACUCCUGAAGAAUGCAAAAUGCUAUGUACAAAAGGGUGCAUGUCUAGAUGCAUUGCUACAGCUGAACGUGACAUUCGAGAUGGUUUAAAUCAAUUACCUAGCGAUCAUGAAACAGUUAGAAUGAAACGACAGGAUGGAGAUCGGUAUUAUGGACUAAUGGGUCUAAAUCACUGAUUUCCAAAUUGGGGGGCGUAUAUACACAUUGUUGGGGAGGAGCAAGCAGUUAUUACAAAAUACAGUUUUUAUUUAAUUAUUACUAUUAUUAAUAUUUUAUACUAAUUUAUUACUAUAAUAUUUUACCUUAAUUGAUUGUUACAUUUUAUUAUUUACUAUUAUAUAUAUUUCAUAAUUAUUAUCAUCAAUAAAGAAGUUGUCAUUCCGAAUAUUUUAUAGUUUAUUUGUAAUGUACACCAAAAAAGGUGAUACAUUUUUUUCAAUUUAUAGAGGGAGUGCGAGAUUUUUGAAAAUCUACAAAGAGGGGCGUAGAAUAGAAGAGGUUGGAGACCACUGGUCUAAAUCGAAGUAAAAUGUUUUGUUAACAUUCAUACCAAAGAAGAGCUAAAGGGGUUUAAGCGUGCUUAAAGAGUAGCAUAGAAGAUAAUUGUUGGGAAUGUACAGUAGUUGAAUCUAAUUAACUUUUAUUUUAUAGCAUUUGUUUAUUUUUUUAAUUUAUAUAAUAGCAUGUUUAUUAGAUUAUUAAAUAUUACUCGUUUUUCAAUAAUAAAUUCUAAGUGUAAUGCCAUAUUUCAUAUAUUUUUGAUAAUUAUACAGUAUAUAUUGUACAAAAACGAUUUGAAUAUUCAACAUAAGCGGAUAUUGGAGGGAUUUGGGGUCUUAAGCAUCCUCCCCCUAAAAAAGUAAUCAAGCCACACCAGACGGUUAAAGCGUCUAAAAAAAUGUGUUUACUUGGAUGAGAAACAUGUUAAGCUCCUCUUCACGAAUGUGACCAAUUAUCCGCUUAUAAUGUUCAAUACCGUUAUUUAGUGAAUUUUUUUACGGAAAUAUACAUAUAAGUCAAGUUAAAACCGGCAUAAGUUGUCUCUCUCUAAAACAUUAAUCAGACAUUUUUAAUUGUAAACUUGUUACACAAAACUUUUAAAUAAAAAGUAAGAUUUUAAAUUAAGAUGCCUUUUAUAUCGUACAAAACAUUGUUUAAAACAUUUUUGAUAUAAGAUUUAUGGUUAUAUUGCAUUUGUAAAAUAUUUUUAUACAAUACAUAUUACAUAUUAAUAUAUUAUAAUAUACAAUCGAU